Podarcis lilfordi (Lilford's wall lizard) is the source of this 74-nucleotide non-coding RNA. The record is from the annotation of a GenBank genome assembly. Lineage: Eukaryota; Metazoa; Chordata; Lepidosauria; Squamata; Lacertidae.
GAAGGGCUGUAGCUCAGUGGUAGAACAUCUGCUUUGAAUGCAGAAGGUCCCAGGUUCAGUUCCUGGUAUCUUCA